AAAAAAAAAAAAAAAAAAAAAAAAAAAAAGAGGAAAUUGGAAAUUGGGAAAUUCAACAAAAGCUUCAUCAAUGGAGGACAAAUAUCAAUCUCAAAAGCUUCGUACUAUGUUCAUUAAGAUAGUGCGAAGCACAAUCAAUUUAUGGUGCCAACAAAAGCUUCAUCAAUGGAGGACAAGUAUCAAUCUCCAAAGCUUCGCACUAUGUUCAUCAAGAUAGUGCGAAGCACAAUCAAUUUAUGGUGCCAACAAAAGCUUCAUCAAUGGAGGACAAGUAUCAAUCUCCCAAGCUUCGCACUAUGUUCAUCAAGAUAGUGCGAAGCACAAUCAAUUUAUGGUGCCAACAAAAGCUUCACCUAUAAAGCUUCAACCCCAAAGCUU
Molecule: long non-coding RNA, 378 nt
Filed under: Malus domestica (apple)
Lineage: Eukaryota; Viridiplantae; Streptophyta; Magnoliopsida; Rosales; Rosaceae
Description: long non-coding RNA (MDOM_LNC016255)
Source: RNAcentral